AGAAAAGCUGUGUGCGACAGAGGGCA
This 26-nucleotide unclassified non-coding RNA is filed under the name Mus musculus (house mouse). Its description in RNAcentral is "oocyte_clustered_small_RNA6415". The record is from RNAcentral. Lineage: Eukaryota; Metazoa; Chordata; Mammalia; Rodentia; Muridae.